UGCCCGGGGGCGGGAGGCGGGGCGUUCGGCGGAAGCCGCAAUGGGAGGCCCUAGCCCCGCCCCUUUCCCGCCCCCGUGCUCUCGCCUCUGUCCCCCUCCCCGCGCGUACGUCUUGGAGCUGCCGCGCAGAAAGGACGAGAUGUAUAUUGAACAAUCCCACACAUGAGGCUGUAUGCUGGGCCCUGAAACCUAGAGGUGAACAAGGUGAUCCUUGUGGGACUCAGCACCUUAACCCAACCCAAGAAGAUAUCCAAGAAGAGCUAUCUUGAUCGGAGCAUAGAAAAUACUGUGGCAGUACCAGGGAUCAAAAUCCGAACCUUGCGCUUUCAAGACAGUUGUUUCCUGCAGGCUUUGUGAAGCAGAACUUCAGCCUCUACUGACUGCUUGUCCAGAUCAAAAGGUGUUUCCUGCAAGAUGAUUUGGCCUUGCCUGCAGGUACAUCUGUGGACCACAGCACACCGAAGAUGCAACACCCCUCCCCAUAUGUGCACAGGCCUGGCUUCUUGGCUACACAUCACACAUCAACUCUGCUGCUCAGGCCAGAUGCUAAAAUCCCCAUAUUGUUGGAAGUGGGAAUGAGCCCAGCUGAAAAGACUACACCCCCCAGCUUCCUCUGCAACCAGGGAUGGACGAUGAGAUGUAAACAGAAACAAUUAAGAUGAUGACCCUGUGGCUAAAUUGACAUUGGAGCCAAGAACCUUGAAACUUGGAGCACAGGUCAACCAGCAGCCAGUUGACCCAUCUGACUGAAGAUAAAAGAGUUAGAAGAGUUUCAUGGGUGAUCCUAAAAGCUGGUUCUUUGCUCUGCCUUAUCCCGGGACUCUUGAGUUAGUCUCUUCUUCACAUCAGGCACUUCAUUAUUCCACAAGGGUAUUUUAGUUUCUGUAGUGUAAUGGUUAACAUGUUUGCUUGACACAGGGAUAUUCUCAACUCUCAUGUCCUGGGGAGGGAUUACAGGCACUGCCCCUAGGGAGUUUAUAGUCUACAAGGAGACACACAUGACCAUCACACCAGCAUGACAUAAUCACACUGAGAUGAGGGUCAGGAAGGAGGGACAGGUGAGGUUUGAGAGCACUUGGUGACAGGAUUUCACCUAAGGGGUUUGGAAGUGAUUACAGUUGAGAAGGGCAGGAUGUGUAGAUGAGCAGCCAGACAUGGAAGGUAGCCUGAUGCCAAGAACAGGGCCGAGGUCCCUGAGACCUGGGCCUAUUUCUGAGUGCAGGUCUCUCUUGUGCCCAAAGGCAUUUCAAAGAGUGCUUUUUGGCCUUUAAGAAAAUGCUAUUAUUUGUCACUGAGGUGACAUUUGCAGGCCAUGAUGGCAAGUUAUCUUUCAGGGUCCAAGCAGAGAAUGGCCCAGUGGUGUUUGGCAGCUGGUUCCUUUCCACGUGAGAGAGCUGAUUGUGCACAUCUCCUUCGGACUCCACAUUCAGUUACAUCACCUCAGUCAGAAAGGGAGUAUUUCUGGCAAGGAAGUCGGCAAACACCACAGAUCAAACUCCCUGCCAAGUGAGGGCAAACAUUUCUUACCAUGCUACUGAGCACAGACCACCUCUCCCAGUGACAGAGAAAAAACUCGGUUUCUUAGAGCAUCACAAAUAUUCUUGAAAAGGUUGGAUUUAUGACAAAGUGAUAUGAUAGUUUGUGGAUCCUGCCUGAGAGAGACAGAAAAAGAGAGAUGCUGCUGACCCACAUGGAAAUCUAGCAUGAUUUCUGACAUGUGUAGAACAUUUGCUGACAAUCGGCUUUCCAGAAGCAGAACCUCCUAAAUUGAGAAGGAUCAAGGUGUUGGAAUUGAUCAGUCAGUGCUGCUGGUGAUUCCCUCCAUGGUCAGAUGCUGUUACCAGGGUCAAGGGGCAGAGAGUAAAGGUAACCAAAACCUCAUUCCUCCCCUCUGAGGACUAGCAGUUGGUCAGCAACAUAGGACAGGUACAAAUUAUGUGUAUAAUUCUCAUCUCCUGCGUUCAACCACUUCAGUGCUUUGGGAGGGCCUGAUUCAGAUGAGACACGUCAGGAGAGCAUGAAUCAUCCUGGUCAUCCUUGUAUUUUUCACAGACAAUCUCAGCAUAAAAGAUGUUGCCUCUUGAACUAAUGCAUCCCAUGAAAGAGAACCUGGUAAAUUCACAUAGCUAGAUCAUCUCCUCACCCCAUGUUCAUCAGUCCAUCCUGAUGAACUCAGCUUAGGGAACCCCUGAGAAGCCUUCCCUAGUGCCCCUGAGACUGAGGAGAUGUGCCACUCAUAAUCUUUGACUUCCCAGGAUGUUUUCAUACCCCAUCCACUGGGAUGUCUUCAUCUUGUUCAAUCUUCUAGCACUGGUUCAUGGGACAAUGUUUGGCCUGGUAAGAUCUAAUGUAUUAGCUGGGUGUGGUGGUGCACGCCUGUAAUCCCAGCACUGGGGAGGCUGAGGCAAGAGGACUGCUAUGAGCUGGAAGACAGCCUGAAGGACAUAUUGAGUUGAAGGUCAGCCUGCACUACAUAGCCAGACCCUGUCUCAAGAAAAAACAAAGCAAAACAAAACAAAAGAUCUAAUGUAUGAAUAUGGGGAAUGUGUGAAUAUGGGUGCAAAGAGGAACUUGAAGUUCAGAAAAGAUUGGAGAAAGACACAAUUAACAUGCUCCUCUUUCAUGUGAGUCAUAUGAAGGGCAGCAGAAUGUGACCUCAGAAUAUGCCAUGUUGGCAAAAGGAUUAUUUUGAGCUGAAGGCAACUGAGAAGGAGCAGAUGCAAAGAAAGCUCUCUGGUAUACUCCUAUUUGCUUCAAAAUAGGACAUAAAUUUGUAAAGAUGUCCAUCCUCCUCUCUCUACCAAGAACAGAAGUUAAUCAUAGGACACAACUAGACUUCUGUCAGCCCAAGAGGACACUCAAGGAAAGCUUCUCAACAAACCUCAGUCUGCAGCCCUCAGCCUCCCUCAGUGCCCCCAUGUAUCUCUUUUCCUACAUUUUGGUGUCCUAGGAGCUCCCCUUUCCUUUGUCUUGUCACUGCUGUACAGUGUAUUUAUUUUUUCAUUCAUCAAGAUGCCACAUGAACCCAGGUCCCCCCACCUCCUUGAGUUACUUGUCAGUGGGUAUUCCUCUGUGAAAGCAGGGUGCACACUCUAAUAGACUCAUUUGUGUUUCCCUGUCACCAGUCUGAUUUAUAGGAGAAUUUAGGAGGGUAGCAGGAAAAUGGCUUUAGCUUUAUUAAACCUUACAAACAACCCUGUAAGGGUAUUUCUAUUAUUCUCAUCUCAUCAUACAGAGAAAGAACUGAAGAUCAGAGUUGCUAAGUAGCUUACCCAAAGUCACACAGCUCAUGAAAGGAGGAGGUAAUUUUUUUUUAUUAAAUUCUUUUAUU
Molecule: non-coding RNA, 3331 nt
Organism: Heterocephalus glaber (naked mole-rat)
Lineage: Eukaryota; Metazoa; Chordata; Mammalia; Rodentia; Bathyergidae
Source: RefSeq, a predicted model, not a curated record